AUGGAUCAUAUCUUAAUCUCUAGUGAGACCCUGGAAGAACAUUUGGAACAUCUCAGAAUAGUGUUUCAAACCUUAAGAGAGCAUCAGUUCUUUGCUAAGAGUACCAAAUGCACUUUUGCACAGCAACAAUUGGAAUAUCUAGGACACAUCAUUUCUGACAAAGGGGUUCAGACAGAUCCUGAGAAAACUUUGGCUAUGGCCAGGUGGCCUACUCCUCAGAACGUGACUGAAUUAAGAGGGUUUUUGGGGCUCACGGGAUAUUACAGGAAGUUUGUGCAAGGAUAUGGUAUAAUUGCUAAACCACUCACUCAACUACUGAAGAAACAAGCAUUUGCUUGGUCCUCAGAGGCCCAGGAAGCCUUUGAGAAACUCAAGGCAGCGAUGAUGACUACUCCUGUAUUAGUGUUGCCUGACUUUGACCAGCCGUUCUGCAUUGAAACAGAUGCAUGUGCUACAGGAAUUGGUGCUGUGCUCACUCAAGGAGGACACCCUGUUGCCUUUUAUAGCAAAGCUUUGGGCAUCAAAAAUCAAUCUCUGUCCAUCUACGAAAAGGAGUUUUUGGCAAUUAUGAUGGCUGUAGAAAAAUGA
This 588-nucleotide ribosomal RNA is filed under the name Triticum aestivum (bread wheat). RNAcentral's name for it is "partial small subunit ribosomal RNA". The record is from RNAcentral. Lineage: Eukaryota; Viridiplantae; Streptophyta; Magnoliopsida; Poales; Poaceae.